GACGAACGCUGGCGGCGUGCUUAACACAUGCCAGUCGAACGGAAAGGCCCUUCGGGGUCCUCGAGUGGCGAACGGGUGAGUAACACGUGGGUGAUCUGCCCUGCACUUUGGGAUAAGCCUGGGAAACUGGGUCUAAUACCGAAUAGGACCACGCGCUUCAUGGUGUGUGGUGGAAAGCUUUUGCGGUGUGGGAUGGGCCCGCGGCCUAUCAGCUUGUUGGUGGGGUAAUGGCCUACCAAGGCGACGACGGGUAGCCGGCCUGAGAGGGUGACCGGCCACACUGGGACUGAGAUACGGCGCAGACUCCUACGGGAGGCAGCAGUGGGGAAUAUUGCACAAUGGGCGCAAGCCUGAUGCAGCGACGCCGCGUGAGGGAUGACGGCCUUCGGGUUGUAAACCUCUUUCAAUAGGGACGAAGCGCAAGUGACGGUACCUAUAGAAGAAGCACCGGCCAACUACGUG
RNAcentral lists this ribosomal RNA (462 nucleotides) under uncultured bacterium. Its description in RNAcentral is "partial 16S ribosomal RNA". It matches the Rfam family "Bacterial small subunit ribosomal RNA", at positions 28 to 507 of the family's 1533-position model. The record is from RNAcentral.